UACGAAGGGGGCUAGCGUUGCUCGGAAUUACUGGGCGUAAAGCGCACGUAGGCGGCUUUCUAAGUCGGGGGUGAAAUCCUGGAGCUCAACUCCAGAACUGCCUUUGAUACUGAGGAUCUUGAGUUCGGGAGAGGUGAGUGGAACUGCGAGUGUAGAGGUGAAAUUCGUAGAUAUUCGCAAGAACACCAGUGGCGAAGGCGGCUCACUGGCCCGAUACUGACGCUGAGGCACGAAAGCGUGGGGAGCAAACAGG
Molecule: ribosomal RNA, 253 nt
Filed under: uncultured bacterium
Lineage: Bacteria
Description: partial 16S ribosomal RNA
Rfam family: Bacterial small subunit ribosomal RNA
Source: RNAcentral